ACCUGCUCUAAACAGCUAGCCUCCCCCCCCCCACAACAAACACCAUUAAUACCCCUAACAGCACAAAAGUAACAAAACAAACCAUUUUACCCCCUUAGUACGGGAGACGGAAAAGGGCUUACAGCGCUAUAGAAAAAGUACCGCAAGGGAAAGCUGAAAGAGAAAUGAAAAACCCCAGUUAAGAGCAAAAAAGCAAAGAUUAACCCUUGUACCUUUUGCAUCAUGAGUUAGCUAGUACUUCCGAGCAAAGGGAACUAUAGUUCGAAGCCCCGAAACUAGACGAGCUACUUCAAGGCAGUCAUCAAGGACAAACCCGUCUCUGUGGCAAAAGAGUGGGGUGACCUUCAAGUAGAGGUGAUAAACCUACCGAGCCUAGUAAUAGCUGGUUGCCUACAAAAUGAACAGAAGUUCAGCCUUUUGACUUUUCUUAUCCUAGAAGGUAACCACCUUAAAAGAGACCAAAAAUUAAAAGAGUUAUUCGAAGGGGGUACAGCCCCUCCGAAAAAAGAUACAACUUUUCAGCAGGCUAAAGAUCACACCCAAUAAGGAAAGACACCUGGGUGGGCCUAAAAGCAGCCAUCCCAAAAGAAAGCGUUAAAGCUCAAGUAUCCCUUCCCCUCCCCCUAUAAGGACAACAAAAUCUUAAGCCCCUAAAACUAGUAGGCCUUUUCAUGCACCCAUGAAAGAGACACUGCUAACAUGAGUAAUAAGAGGGACCGCCCCUCUCCACAGCACCUGCAUACAACAGAACAGACAACCUACUGAAUAUUAACGCACCCAAACUAGAGGGUAAUGAGACAACCAUAACAAACUAGAAAACCUCUCAACAACAAGCGUUACCCCUACACAGGUGUGCCCGUGGAAAGACUAAAAGGAAAAGAAGGAACUCGGCAAACACUGGCCUCGCCUGUUUACCAAAAACAUCGCCUCUUGUAAAACAACCAUAAGAGGUCCCGCCUGCCCUGUGACCGCAAGUUUAACGGCCGCGGUAUUUUGACCGUGCAAAGGUAGCGUAAUCACUUGUCUUUUAAAUGAAGACCUGUAUGAAUGGCAUAACGAGGGCUAAGCUGUCUCCUUUUCCCAGUCAAUGAAAUUGAUCUCCCCGUGCAGAAGCGGGGAUAUAAACAUAAGACGAGAAGACCCUAUGGAGCUUAAGACACAAGGCAGCUAAUACUAAAUACCCCCAUAAAAGGAAAAAUUCUAUUUAGCUCUGCCCUCAUGUCUUUGGUUGGGGCGACCGCGGAAGAAUAAAUAUCUCCCACGUGGAAUGGGGUAAGACCCUUAAAAUUAGAGCCACAGCCCUAAUAAACAGAAUAUCUGACCUAAAAGAUCCGGCACAGCCGAUCAACGGACCAAGUUACCCUAGGGAUAACAGCGCAAUCCCCUUUAAGAGCCCUUAUCGACAAGGGGGUUUACGACCUCGAUGUUGGAUCAGGACUUCCUAAUGGUGCAGCCGCUAUUAAGGGUUC
This 1469-nucleotide ribosomal RNA is filed under the name Crystallogobius linearis (crystal goby). RNAcentral's name for it is "partial 16S ribosomal RNA". It matches the Rfam family "Bacterial large subunit ribosomal RNA", at positions 181 to 2574 of the family's 2925-position model. The record is from RNAcentral. Lineage: Eukaryota; Metazoa; Chordata; Actinopteri; Gobiiformes; Gobiidae.